Molecule: unclassified non-coding RNA, 221 nt
Filed under: uncultured Entolomataceae
Lineage: Eukaryota; Fungi; Basidiomycota; Agaricomycetes; Agaricales; Entolomataceae
Description: sequence contains ITS1
Source: RNAcentral
AUGAAUAAACUUGGUUAGGUUGUUGCUGGCUCUUGUGAAUUCAAGGGCAUGUGCACGCUUAGUCCAUCUUUAACCACCUGUGCACAUUCUGUAGAUCUGUGAGCUCGAGGGAUCUGAGCGCAAGCUCGUUUCCCUUUCGUGAUCAAAUCUAUGUUUUAUAUAUACUCAAUAUGAAUGUAUUCGAAUGUCAUAAAUUGGCCCUGUGCCAUAUAAAUAAAAUA